AAUUGUAAAUAUGUUUAUCUUAAGCAAUAAUCUUGUAAACUAUUUUACUAUGUAGGAGUACUGGAGGUCAGAUUAAAAGUCUUGCUAAAUCGGCUCACAAAGUUGAAUGUCAAGCUAACGAUCUUGUGGAGGAUUUGCGAGAAAUUCCCGGUCGAGAAGCUUUGCGACUGAGAGGAGAGGUUGCCAAUAUGGCGUCAACUCUAAAAGACGAGAGGUUUGCUAUGAACAAAAGGAUAAUGAAAAUAUCCGAAUUAGGUAUUCGCCUAUGAAUCGUAUCGCCACUGUGUUGCUAAAUUACCUCAACGUUUGGACCCACCGAGAUUCUCUCAUGGUUACUCUGCAUCACUCUGUUUUGGAGAAUGAAAAUGAUGCUUCAUAGCUUGCAAGGUUUGAGUUUGUUUUGAUUGAUAUUUAGUGCUGUUAAUAAUGGCAUGCUGAUUAUACAAUCAGUCUUUCUUAAUGGCCAAAUCCAAAACAAUUAUAUGAUGCUACUUUUUGCUAUUAUUGUUAUAGAGUUAAAAACUUUACUACU
Helianthus annuus (common sunflower) is the source of this 532-nucleotide long non-coding RNA. RefSeq lists it as uncharacterized. NCBI's taxonomy places the organism in Eukaryota, Viridiplantae, Streptophyta, Magnoliopsida, Asterales, Asteraceae. The transcript is spliced from 3 exons. The record is from RefSeq and is a predicted model, not a curated record.